RNAcentral lists this ribosomal RNA (494 nucleotides) under uncultured bacterium. Its description in RNAcentral is "partial 16S ribosomal RNA". It matches the Rfam family "Bacterial small subunit ribosomal RNA", at positions 28 to 507 of the family's 1533-position model. The record is from RNAcentral.
GACGAACGCUGGCGGCGUGCUUAACACAUGCAAGUCGAACGGUGAAGCGCCUUCCUUUUUGGUGGGUGUGGAUGAGUGGCGAACGGGUGAGUAACACGUGAGUAACCUGCCCCCUUCUUCUGGAUAACCGCAUGAAAGUGUGGCUAAUACAGGAUAUUCUGGGUCUGUCGCAUGAUGGGUCUGGGAAAGAUAUUGUUUCGGUGGGGGAUGGGCUCGCGGCCUAUCAGCUUGUUGGUGGGGUGAUGGCCUACCAAGGCGGUGACGGGUAGCCGGCCUGAGAGGGUGGACGGUCACACUGGGACUGAGACACGGCCCAGACUCCUACGGGAGGCAGCAGUGGGGAAUAUUGCACAAUGGGCGCAAGCCUGAUGCAGCGACGCCGCGUGAGGGAUGGAGGCCUUCGGGUUGUGAACCUCUUUCGCCAGUGAAGCAGGCCUGCCUCGUUUGUGGGUGGGUCGACGGUAGCUGGAUAAGAAGCGCCGGCUAACUACGUG